GGCAAGACCGAAUUCAGAAGGAUAUCGACGUCGUGAUCCAGAAGUCCAGAGCUGAGGACUGCCUGUUUGCAGGGCCCGCCUGGCAGGACGACUGAGCAAGUUCUUGGAAAACCAGAGAUAUUAGAGCGGUGAAUCGCGCUGGUCACGUUGGACACCUGCGCGUUAGGAGAUUCUGGAGCCAGAGGGAGAGACCCCAGAAACGCCCCGGUCGGCGACCCAGCCCGAGACGCCUGGGGUCCCAAGGGAAGCUGAACGCCCGAAUGGGGAAAUGGAGAGAGAACCUGAAAGAGCCCCAAACUCGAGGACCUAUUGCUCCCCAAGAAUAACAUCUUCCAGAACUAGACAGAAAACUAGGCGUCUGGGAACCCUGAAAUCCUUGGAGGAGUAGAUCAUCAUGACCCUCUGUGUUCCUUUUGGCAAAUGACUUGCUUCCAUUGUUUGUUUGUUCAAUUGUCUGUUUGUUAAAUAAAUAAAACCCUUUUUAUG
Molecule: long non-coding RNA, 486 nt
Filed under: Homo sapiens (human)
Lineage: Eukaryota; Metazoa; Chordata; Mammalia; Primates; Hominidae
Description: non-protein coding LINC00623:25
Source: RNAcentral